GAUGAACGCUAGCUACAGGCUUAACACAUGCAAGUCGAGGGGAAACGACAUCCAAAGCUUGCUUUUGAUGGGCGUCGACCGGCGCACGGGUGAGUAACGCGUAUCCAACCUGCCCAUCACUUGGGAAUAACCUUGCGAAAGUAAGACUAAUACCCAAUGAUAUCCCACGAAGGCAUCGGAAUGGGAUUAAAGAUUUAUCGGUGAUGGAUGGGGAUGCGUCUGAUUAGCUUGUUGGCGGGGUAACGGCCCACCAAGGCAACGAUCAGUAGGGGUUCUGAGAGUAAGGGCCCUCACAUGGGAACUGGGACACGGGCCAAACUCCUACGGGAGGCAGUAGUAAGGGAUAUUGGUCAAUGGGCGAGAGCCUGAACCAGCCAAGUAGCGUGCAGGAAGACGGCCCUAUGGGUUGUAAACUGCUUUUAUAAGGGAAUAAAGUGGGUCACGUGUGACUUUUUGCAUGUACCUUAUGAAUAAGGACCGGCUAAUUCCGUG
RNAcentral lists this ribosomal RNA (492 nucleotides) under uncultured bacterium. RNAcentral describes it as "partial 16S ribosomal RNA". It matches the Rfam family "Bacterial small subunit ribosomal RNA", at positions 28 to 507 of the family's 1533-position model. The record is from RNAcentral.